GCUCCUGUGGGCUAGUUAUUAAAGCGUUCGCCUCGGAUGCGAGAGGUCUCGGGUUCGAAACCCGGCUGAGUCA
This is a non-coding RNA of Potamilus streckersoni, 73 nucleotides long. Lineage: Eukaryota; Metazoa; Mollusca; Bivalvia; Unionida; Unionidae. The record is from the annotation of a GenBank genome assembly.